UACGUAGGGCGCAAGCGUUAUCCGGAAUUAUUGGGCGUAAAGAGCUCGUAGGCGGUUUGUCGCGUCUGCCGUGAAAGUCCGGGGCUCAACUCCGGAUCUGCGGUGGGUACGGGCAGACUAGAGGUGAUGUAGGGGAGACUGGAAUUCCUGGUGUAGCGGUGGAAUGCGCAGAUAUCAGGAGGAACACCGGUGGCGAAGGCGGGUCUCUGGGCAGUAACUGACGCUGGAGGAGCGAAAGCGUGGGGAGCGAACAGG
Molecule: ribosomal RNA, 255 nt
Filed under: uncultured bacterium
Lineage: Bacteria
Description: partial 16S ribosomal RNA
Rfam family: Bacterial small subunit ribosomal RNA
Source: RNAcentral